This 242-nucleotide ribosomal RNA is filed under the name uncultured bacterium. RNAcentral's name for it is "partial 16S ribosomal RNA". It matches the Rfam family "Bacterial small subunit ribosomal RNA", at positions 796 to 1041 of the family's 1533-position model. The record is from RNAcentral.
CGCACGGUAAACGAUGGAUGCCCGCUGUUGGUCUGAAUAGGUCAGCGGCCAAGCGAAAGCAUUAAGCAUCCCACCUGGGGAGUACGCCGGCAACGGUGAAACUCAAAGGAAUUGACGGGGGCCCGCACAAGCGGAGGAACAUGUGGUUUAAUUCGAUGAUACGCGAGGAACCUUACCCGGGCUUGAAUUGCAGAGGAAGGAUUUGGAGACAAUGACGCCCUUCGGGGCCUCUGUGAAGGUGC